GCCAGUCUGAACUAGAAUUGCCAUUGAACUUACCAUAGAUUGAAAUUUUGUGACACCAUCGAACUUUCCAAUGUCAAACCUUGUUGCUUCCAUGUCUGAAUGGGCUGAUCUAUGAAAAUUAAACUAGCUCUUGGCACCACUUUUUGGGAAUUGACCCGAUUAAGCAACAAACAAGUAAAAAUAAUGGAAGAAAUUGAGAAAUAGAGCACACAAAUUUAAC
Molecule: long non-coding RNA, 220 nt
Filed under: Gossypium barbadense (sea-island cotton)
Lineage: Eukaryota; Viridiplantae; Streptophyta; Magnoliopsida; Malvales; Malvaceae
Description: long non-coding RNA (GBAR_LNC002308)
Source: RNAcentral